RNAcentral lists this ribosomal RNA (253 nucleotides) under uncultured bacterium. RNAcentral describes it as "partial 16S ribosomal RNA". It matches the Rfam family "Bacterial small subunit ribosomal RNA", at positions 524 to 776 of the family's 1533-position model. The record is from RNAcentral.
UACAGGGGGUGCAAACGUUGCUCGGAAUCAUUGGGCGUAAAGCGCACGUAGGCGGUUCGUUAUGUCGGAUGUGAAAGCCCUUGGCUUAACCGAGGAAGUGCAUCCGAAACUGGCGAGCUAGAGUACUAAAGAGGAUCGCGGAAUUCCCGGUGUAGAGGUGAAAUUCGUAGAUAUCGGGAGGAACACCGGUGGCGAAGGCGGCGAUCUGGGUAGAUACUGACGCUGAGGAGCGAAAGCGUGGGGAGCGAACAGG